This 253-nucleotide ribosomal RNA is filed under the name uncultured bacterium. Its description in RNAcentral is "partial 16S ribosomal RNA". It matches the Rfam family "Bacterial small subunit ribosomal RNA", at positions 524 to 776 of the family's 1533-position model. The record is from RNAcentral.
UACGAGGGGGGCUAGCGUUGCUCGGAAUGACUGGGCGUAAAGGGCGCGUAGGCGGACGGCUUUGUCGGGCGUGAAAUUCCAGGGCUUAACCUUGGGGCUGCGUUCGAGACGGGUUGUCUAGAGUUUGGAAGAGGGUCGUGGAAUUCCCAGUGUAGAGGUGAAAUUCGUAGAUAUUGGGAAGAACACCGGUGGCGAAGGCGGCGACCUGGUCCUUGACUGACGCUGAGGCGCGAAAGCGUGGGGAGCAAACAGG